This 454-nucleotide ribosomal RNA is filed under the name uncultured bacterium. RNAcentral's name for it is "bacterial SSU rRNA". It matches the Rfam family "Bacterial small subunit ribosomal RNA", at positions 28 to 494 of the family's 1533-position model. The record is from RNAcentral.
GAUGAACGCUGGCGGCGUGCUUAACACAUGCAAGUCGAACGGGAUCCAUCAAGCUUGCUUGGUGGUGAGAGUGGCGAACGGGUGAGUAAUGCGUGACCGACCUGCCCCAUACACCGGAAUAGCUCCUGGAAACGGGUGGUAAUGCCGGAUGCUCCAGUUGAUCGCAUGGUCUUCUGGGAAAGCUUUCGCGGUAUGGGAUGGGGUCGCGUCCUAUCAGCUUGACGGCGGGGUAACGGCCCACCGUGGCUUCGACGGGUAGCCGGCCUGAGAGGGCGACCGGCCACAUUGGGACUGAGAUACGGCCCAGACUCCUACGGGAGGCAGCAGUGGGGAAUAUUGCACAAUGGGCGCAAGCCUGAUGCAGCGACGCCGCGUGAGGGAUGGAGGCCUUCGGGUUGUAAACCUCUUUUAUCGGGGAGCAAGCGAGAGUGAGUUUACCCGUUGAAUAAGCACC